This 30-nucleotide non-coding RNA is filed under the name Rattus norvegicus (Norway rat). Lineage: Eukaryota; Metazoa; Chordata; Mammalia; Rodentia; Muridae. The record is from RNAcentral.
UAAAAGGACGACAAUCGAACGCUUUUCUUU